This is a long non-coding RNA of Pseudophryne corroboree (corroboree frog), 519 nucleotides long. RefSeq lists it as uncharacterized. Lineage: Eukaryota; Metazoa; Chordata; Amphibia; Anura; Myobatrachidae. The record is from RefSeq and is a predicted model, not a curated record. The transcript has 4 exons.
AGGUGGCCUAUUUCUCUCACACAUCAUUAUUUUGAGGCUCACCCAAAGUGGGAUAUUUACCCAUAUACCAUUUGGACCAGCGUGUUUUUUGGAAAGAGGUCCAUUGCUAAUUUAGUCUAAAGUGUUCAACACUAUUGAGCAUUAGAGUGUUUCAACCCAUUGAAUUCAUAUAUGGUUGCUUCAUGGACUGACCAUUUGCUGUGUUGACCAUCCCUCUGAAGAAGUCCACGAAGGAUGAAACGCGUCAGGGUUGAAGACAGAGAGAAAAGAAACCCUACACUAUUGUACAUUUGACAUAUAUUGUGAUCUGUAAUUGUGAAAAAGGGUUACCUCUGUCUAGAUUGGGCAAUACUUUGCUUUUAAUAAAUUGUGUAAAGCCAUAAUCAUUUGGUAAAUUUUUAGUUGGUAACCAGUUUAAGUGAUUGAGAGCGCCCUCUGAUUCAAUUUGCUGGAGGUGUUGUUUUGUAUGGUCCUCACUAACAGGAGGAUCGAAUUAGAGGGCUGCCGCACCAGCGCAGU